UACGGAGGAUGCGAGCGUUAUCCGGAAUCAUUGGGUUUAAAGGGUGCGUAGGCUGGUAUUUAAGUCAGUGGUGAAAUUUUCGUGCUUAACAUGAGAGCUGCCAUUGAUACUGGGUACCUAGAGUGUAUUUGAUGUGGGCGGAAUGUGUUGUGUAGCGGUGAAAUGCUUAGAUAUAACACAGAACACCGAUAGCGAAGGCAGCUCACAAAGUUACAACUGACGCUGAUGCACGAAAGCGUGGGGAUCGAAACAAGG
RNAcentral lists this ribosomal RNA (255 nucleotides) under uncultured bacterium. RNAcentral's name for it is "partial 16S ribosomal RNA". It matches the Rfam family "Bacterial small subunit ribosomal RNA", at positions 524 to 777 of the family's 1533-position model. The record is from RNAcentral.